GCUUCCUUAGCUCAGUUGGGAGAGCAGCUCACUUGUAAUGAGCAGGUCGUCCGUUCGAAUCGGACAGGGAGCA
RNAcentral lists this transfer RNA (73 nucleotides) under Vibrio phage pVp-1. It matches the Rfam family "tRNA". From Rfam's summary of the family: Transfer RNA (tRNA) molecules are approximately 80 nucleotides in length. Their secondary structure includes four short double-helical elements and three loops (D, anti-codon, and T loops). Further hydrogen bonds mediate the characteristic L-shaped molecular structure. tRNAs have two regions of fundamental functional importance: the anti-codon, which is responsible for specific mRNA codon recognition, and the 3' end, to which the tRNAs corresponding amino acid is attached (by aminoacyl-tRNA synthetases). tRNAs cope with the degeneracy of the genetic code in two manners: having more than one tRNA (with a specific anti-codon) for a particular amino acid; and 'wobble' base-pairing, i.e. permitting non-standard base-pairing at the 3rd anti-codon position. RNAcentral also lists the same sequence under 1 other name. Lineage: Duplodnaviria; Heunggongvirae; Uroviricota; Caudoviricetes; Demerecviridae. The record is from Rfam by way of RNAcentral.